CAGCAGCCGCGGGAAUACAGAGGGUGCGAGCGUUAAUCGGAUUUACUGGGCGUAAAGCGUGCGUAGGCGGCUAAUUGAGUCGGAUGUGAAAUCCCCGAGCUUAACUUGGGAAUUGCAUUCGAUACUGGUUAGCUAGAGUGUGGGAGAGGAUGGUAGAAUUCCAGGUGUAGCGGUGAAAUGCGUAGAGAUCUGGAGGAAUACCGAUGGCGAAGGCAGCCAUCUGGCCUAAUACUGACGCUGAGGUACGAAAGCAUGGGGAGCAAACAGGAUUAGAUACCCCAGUAGUCCCUGUCUCUUAUAA
This 301-nucleotide ribosomal RNA is filed under the name uncultured bacterium. RNAcentral's name for it is "partial 16S ribosomal RNA". It matches the Rfam family "Bacterial small subunit ribosomal RNA", at positions 509 to 809 of the family's 1533-position model. The record is from RNAcentral.